This 72-nucleotide transfer RNA is filed under the name Planctomyces sp. RNAcentral describes it as "tRNA-Asn". It matches the Rfam family "tRNA". Rfam says of the family: Transfer RNA (tRNA) molecules are approximately 80 nucleotides in length. Their secondary structure includes four short double-helical elements and three loops (D, anti-codon, and T loops). The record is from RNAcentral. Lineage: Bacteria; Pseudomonadati; Planctomycetota; Planctomycetia; Planctomycetales; Planctomycetaceae.
GGGUCGGUAGCUCAGCGGCAGAGCAGGUGCUUGUUAAGCACCCGCGCGUGGGUUCGAGUCCCACCCGUCCCU